RNAcentral lists this long non-coding RNA (1162 nucleotides) under Strigops habroptila (Kakapo). RNAcentral describes it as "lncRNA (ENSSHBG00005008698.1)". The record is from RNAcentral. Lineage: Eukaryota; Metazoa; Chordata; Aves; Psittaciformes; Psittacidae.
AAGGAGGUGAAAUAGAUUUAAGCAGCAACUCUUCCCCCUUCACUCUUUUAUCUGCUUGCGUUUGCUGAUGCCCAGGUUUCUCAAGAUGGUCGCCUUGGUUUUGGAAUACUUCGUGUUCAUGUUUUGUUCAGACUUCCUUGUUUUUUAUUUGCUUCUCAAGUUGUAAGAAACUUGAGCCUUAAGUUUGAUGACAGCAGGGGGACUAUAUUCUGUGAUACAAAUCCAUAUUGAACAGUUGCUCUUCGGCAUGAAUGGUGUUCUUUUUAGAAAUGUCCAAAACCUCAGUGAAGCAUUGGUUUGAAGGUGCUAAUGGUGAGUAGUUCUAGUUUUGUAAUGUCAUCUCACUUGAUCAAAACAUGGAACCUAUAUUCAAGAAACUGCGUACAGAGUAAAUAAUGUGCAUGGGUCCAGUACAGCCUAAUACUCAAGAGUUUUCAUCCUGACCAACCCAUUCAGGGUAGGUAUAGCUAACACCUUUAUUAUGAAGCUUUCUAAAAUCUCAGUGUUUUGAGUUAAAAAGCAGCAUAAAUAGUACUGCUGGCACCUGAGAAGUAUGGUAGGCCUUCCUCUAGGGGAGGAACUUGCUCUGUGUGGUGUGUAAAAGUGUUUGAGUUGGUAAAUUCCUUAUGAAGAAAGCAGCUGAAUUUCAUGAAGUGCUUUGGCAUCAGCUGCACACUACUCUGGCUUGUAGCUACUAUGAGUUCCAGGUGGUUCUUCGGUGUUACUUCCCAGCUGCUAACUUGUUAAGCUUGCACUUAAAUCUGAUACCUUGUGUGGGUUAGUUCUCUCAGGAUGAAGUGAAAUGAAGAGUGCUCUUCAGAGCUGGAAUGGGAUGAUACUGAAGGUAUGUUUGUUGUAGCUGUCUGAAGUGUCAAGUUCUUUCCUUUGCAGUGAGACUAGGUGAGGAGCGUGUGUAUAGCCUCAUCUUUGUAAAGAGAACUGUGAAUGUCUAAGAACUUCGUCAGGAGCUAUAGUGUGUUUGGGUCCCUCUUGGGACAGUACUGAUAUGGAAAGGCUUCUACAAAGAACAAAAUGCUCUUCAGCUUCACCUUGUUUCUGUGUUAUUUGUCAAGCCUUUCAGUCUAAUCAAUCUGUGGGCAAUCAGCCUGUUGUCAGAAAAUACAAGAUGUCAACAUCUCUAAUAAAAAUUGAUUUAAAGGUC